Molecule: long non-coding RNA, 345 nt
Organism: Eublepharis macularius
Lineage: Eukaryota; Metazoa; Chordata; Lepidosauria; Squamata; Eublepharidae
Exons: 3
Source: RefSeq, a predicted model, not a curated record
CUCCCCCAAAUCAAGGUCAAGGGGAACCUAUCCUUCCUGUCUGCUGUAGAAGCAGGAACGCACAGCACUGAUUGGCCGAGAGACUGCUUCAUGAUGUCCAAUGUGAGUCCUGGAAUUCAUUAUGUUCUGUUUCAGUAUUUCUUCUACUCUGUAUUGGAUCCUUGCUAAUGGGGAAGAAGUGGAACAUAUGAAACUGAUGUGGGUCUGUGUGGGUGAGAGAAUGAGUGAGCAGGAGCCUUGCUCUUGUGCCUCACUGCAUCCAGGCGGACAUGCUGGAACUGACCAGAGACCAGUUCUAGUUUUUCACACGUGGUUCUCCAGAUACUCACCUGCUCCCUCAUGCUU